UGAGUAACCUGCCCUUCACUCUGGGAUAACUCCGGGAAACCGGGGCUAAUACUGGAUAUGACUCGAACAGGCAUCUGUUUCGAGUGGAAAGAUUUAUUGGUGGCGGAUGGACUCGCGGCCUAUCAGCUUGUUGGUGAGGUAAUGGCUCACCAAGGCGACGACGGGUAGCCGGCCUGAGAGGGCGAUCCGGCCACACGUGGGACUGAGACACCGGCCCAGACCUCCGUACGGGAG
This 234-nucleotide ribosomal RNA is filed under the name uncultured bacterium. RNAcentral's name for it is "partial 16S ribosomal RNA". It matches the Rfam family "Bacterial small subunit ribosomal RNA", at positions 118 to 347 of the family's 1533-position model. The record is from RNAcentral.